GGGAUUGCCUCAGUAACGGCGAGUGAAGCGGCAACAGCUCAAAUUUGAAAUCUGGCCCUUUCGGGGUCCGAGUUGUAAUUUGUAGAGAGUGUUUCGGGCGAGACCACGGUCUAAGUCCAUUGGAACAUGGCGUCAUAGAGGGUGAGAAUCCCGUCUGCGACCGUGGCUCGAGCCCAUGUGAAGCCUCUUCGACGAGUCGAGUUGUUUGGGAAUGCAGCUCAAAAUGGGUGGUAAAUUUCAUCUAAAGCUAAAUACUGGCUGGAGACCGAUAGCGCACAAGUAGAGUGAUCGAAAGAUGAAAAGCACUUUGGAAAGAGAGUUAAACAGUACGUGAAAUUGUUGAAAGGGAAGCGCUUGCAACCAGACCUGUCCGUAGGUGAUCAGCCGCUGUUCUCAGCGGUGCACUCGCUCUGCGAUCAGGCUAGCAUCGGUUUCGGCGACCGGAUAAAGGCCUUGGGAAUGUAGCUUCCUUUCGGGGGAGUCUUAUAGCCUUCGGUGCAAUGCGGCCAGCCGGGACCGAGGACCGCGCUUCGGCUAGGAUGCUGGCGUAAUGGUUGUAA
Molecule: ribosomal RNA, 560 nt
Filed under: Montanelia disjuncta
Lineage: Eukaryota; Fungi; Ascomycota; Lecanoromycetes; Lecanorales; Parmeliaceae
Description: eukaryotic LSU rRNA
Rfam family: Eukaryotic large subunit ribosomal RNA
Source: RNAcentral